Long non-coding RNA from Sceloporus undulatus (fence lizard), 538 nucleotides. RefSeq lists it as uncharacterized. The transcript is spliced from 4 exons. The record is from RefSeq and is a predicted model, not a curated record. Lineage: Eukaryota; Metazoa; Chordata; Lepidosauria; Squamata; Phrynosomatidae.
UUAGCCAUCUCCUGCAGGGUGAGCCACUGCAGAGCUCAAAUUGCAAACAGGCUAAAACAGUUUCAAACUGAAGGAUCAGGCAGCUGAAGGGAUUAGAGUCAUGGAGAUGGUCUCUGGGAGAGAGGACAUGAUUCCAGAGUUUGAAUGAAGACAGAGCCACACAUUCAACUGGUGUGGACACCUACAUCUUCCUGAUGGCCAAUCCAUCUAUCAUCAGCAUAAUUAACUUUCAAGAAGGUGCCUGCAAAUGUUAGGAAGAGGAGCUGGCAUGUUGAAACCAAAUCAGAUCUCACUUGGAAUACUGUGUCCAGUUCUGGCCAUCACACUUCAAGAAGGGCAUUGACAAACUGGAAUAUGUCCCGAGGAAGAUGACCAAAAUUGUGAAAUAUCUGGAAACCAUGCCCUAAGAGGAGCAACCUAGAGAUCUGGGCAACACAGAGGGACACACUGCCCUGUCAGCUUCAAUCCAUCAGGUGCUGCUGGGUUCCUUGGGAGCCAUCUUUUAAUGUCAUAAAUAAAUGCAUUGCUUAUAUUCAUC